This 4041-nucleotide ribosomal RNA is filed under the name Triticum aestivum (bread wheat). RNAcentral's name for it is "partial small subunit ribosomal RNA". Lineage: Eukaryota; Viridiplantae; Streptophyta; Magnoliopsida; Poales; Poaceae. The record is from RNAcentral.
CUCGUCGCCAUUGGGAUUCACCAAUCCCAUCCGCGCCCAUCCUCCAAACGUGCAAGGGUUCCGCCAACCCUUCGUCAAGUCUGCGCCCCCUCCGCCUCGUCUCCUACCUGCUCCCUCCUAUCCCACGUCAUUGCCCUCGAGCCCACGCCCCCUCCACCUCGUCUCCUCUCGAACGCCGCCGCCCUAGAUGCGCCGUCAGGGACGCCGUCGACACGUCGGGAUACGUAGGGAUGGAGCUCAGCCCGAGCCUAGCAGAAGCCUACUCCUAACCCUAUUCGCUCGAUUGACAAGAGCAGGGCAACGGAUUGGAUCGAGGGCGCCCGCACGGCCUCGCCGCCGCUGCCGCAUGGAUUCGCUAGCCGCCGCCUCGAGUUACCUCCGUCGCCGCCGCCGCGAGUCAGCUCCACCGUUGCCUUCAGGAAUCUCAUCCAGGCAAAUUAACUUCCUCCGAGUCCCUGCUCUCCCUGGUCCUCCUGCCCUGCUUUGUGUGUGUGUGUGCGUGCGUGCGUUCCAGGCAAAUUAACUUCCUCCGAGUCCCUGCUCUCCCUUGUCCUCCUGCCCUGCUUGAUGCGUGUGUGCGUGUGUGCAUGGGUGCGGGUGCGAGUGUGUGUGGGUGUGGGUGUGGGUGCGUAUGUUUUUAGUUCAAGUGUGGAUGCUCGGCAAUAGUGAUGUAGGUCAUUUUGUAGAACAGAAUGAUUAACUUGGUCUAUUUCUAGAGAAAAUUCCUAGGAAUUUUAUUGACGGAGGCAUCACUAUCUGGCGCUGGAUUAUACAUUUUUGCAGCACUACCACUAUUGUUUUUGUUUGGCAGGAAUGAAUGUUCUAGGGUUGGAGCAGAGGGGGUUGAGCAGCAGUUGAGCUUAGGCAUGAAUUUACAGAUUCAAGAUUUCCUUACACAUGGGGCUUUUUAUUCUCCUAAUGUUUCUAGGCUCAUAUCAGGUCACUUUGGAGGCUGAUAUCAGGUGGCUACUCAUGUCUAGCUUGGUGGCUUGGUGCCUAAAUUUUAGAUGUUCCAUUAAUCUUGGCUGCUUUUCUCAUCCGUUUUGGGCUUUAACCUUGGAUCUAGAAGGUAGCAGCUUCUUUGUUCUCCUACUCAAGAUUUGCUCAUUGUUCAGUUCAAGCCAUGUUCUUCAGGUAUCUUCCUUUACAUUUUCUUUACGUGAUGGUCAGUUGAUCUAGCCAAGGGCUUCUCUAUUGUUCUUGGUUUCUUGGAAUAUGUUUUGCUUUGCUAACAAAAUAGUAGGCAUGUGUGUGAGAUUACUUCUCGGUGAAUCUAACAUAAGAUUCUACCUUUAAUUCCAGACUGUUUUUAACUCUCACAAGCUCUUUUUGCUGUUAUGUGUUGCUGUAAGUUUGGACUUGCAAAGAGAACAAUUGAAAACUUGACCACGACAAUUAUAUUUACCGACUAUAAUGGUAACUGGGGAAUAAGCAUCCUAAGGCAUUUGUACCAAACAUGAUUUGAAUCCUUGGGCAUGCCAAUAUGUUCUCUCUAUUUUAGAGUAUGAUGCUCUCGACAAUUGGAAGAAUCAACAUGUAAAUCAAUUUAUAAGUAUAAAACCUUGUGAGCUGGAUCUCCAUUUUCAAUUGGCGUCUUUUCUUAAACAUUCAUACUUUUGAAAGCUUCUACAAGACUCUCCUUGGACCAUUCAGCACAUGUACUGUACCCCUGAGCAAGUUCAUGGAUACCCCUAUACUCCAAUAAGAUAUUAUAAGAACAUAACUAAAAGGAAAAUAAUAUCUCUCCAAAAAUAGAAUUUUCCUCAAAUCAUUUCUUGAGAUGCCCCCUGUAACCUAUGUUGCGUUUAUGACUGAAUUGUCUUUUCUUUAAGACUAGCAUGGUAUCAGCCUUUGGCAUCUUUAAUCUUCAAUGUAGAAGAUUAAGAUCAAAUAUGAUCGUAGCAAACACAAAUGAACACAAUAAAAAAUUUGAUGGUAAAAUUGUUCAGUGUCUGCCAUAUUAUAUUUUGUUACAAGUGAUAGUAGAAACUAACAAUGAAUUCUAUCUACAUUCAAUGAACUAUGGAGAACAUGUGCUUGGGAGGGGAUUUGGAAAGAACAGUUACGACGAGUUCUUGUUUUACUUAAUAAUCUUCAGUUUUCUAAUUCAUAGCUCUGUGUAGUGUGUAAACACUAACCAAAGGAGGAUCACAUUUUGUUAUUCUUUUUUUUUAAAUAAUUAUGAGUGAGUUGCAUUCUGUUGGUUCACUAAACUCGCCUUAUUGAUUGUUUCCAUACAGAAAUAAACCCUUUUGGUCAUUGUAGAUGUGUACUGUUGUAACAAUGCAUGUUAGCUACAGAUGUUAUAUAAUUCUUUUUAUAAAUCUUGACUGAAUCAAGAUAUCUUCUCCAGGAAAAUCAUUGUUUCUUCACUUCCAGGGCCAGCGUCACUCAACUUUGCUUGGAUCAUGCUUAUUUGUUUCUACAUUACCUUUGCUUAAUAUUUUCUCUUGAUUUCCUAUGUGAUUGAGAUGCGUGCCUAUCUCGACUGUUCUGUUGUGUUAGCAAUUUCUCGCCACUGGCCCAUUAUAACUGUUGUUCACAUACCUGGUGCACUUCUAAUUUUGAAUUGUGCUUGCUGAGUGCCCUCAUUUUUUUACUACCUUCCGUUGGUGUAUAUGCAAGCUGUAGAGCUUUGUUGUUCAAUCUGGUUAUAGCUUUAUUCUCCUAUUUUCUUACUCAUUCCCGCAUUGUCUUAGUUAUUAGAAAUGUAAAUAGGCCAUGUGAAAAUAAGCUAAAGUAGCUUUUUUGGGAGAUUUUUUGUGACACUGUUUUUUGUACAACAGAACCAUUUUUCUGCUAAGUAAAUUACUUUCUGUGUCCAGCAUCUGAUGGUUUGCUACCUAUAUUACUGGCUUGCAUGCUUUGAGAAAAUGAUUUUAGCAUGUUUGUCAUUCAUAUAUUUGUCCACCUGCGAAGGAAAAAAAUGUUAUUUGCUCAUGCCUCAUGUCAUAAAAUCAAAUCUCUGCACCAUGCUGAUAUUCUUCAUAAAGAAACCACUUGCUUUUACAAGUACUGGACUACUGUGAGUGUCGUCGUCUUCAUUGAUGGGACGACAAGAGCGGCAAUAGCGCUAGCCAGCGAGGCAGGCUGCUUGGCUCUGGGGCCGACACCUACCGUCCACUUCCGUUGGGCGGAUCUGCCACUUCAAAAACUUACGGUGGCAAUAAGCAAUCUCAAGAGCUUGUUGUGAUGAUUUGAAUGUAAGCAGUUUCCCUCGCUGUGCUUGUGUGCGCUUCUAUGUCUUUUGUGGUCUAUUCUUAGUGUAUGGAAUGGUUAUAUUAGCCCUGUAGUUUACUUUAAUUUUUGAAUCUUGAUGCAUCGAAAAUAGUUGUAAAGUGCAAGACCUUAUUUCUGUGGGUGAAAUAAUAGAUGCACAUUGGCUCUUUUAUUGUUUUUGAUUAUUGAAAGAGAGAUACACAUACUGGUUUGUAUUAAUGGUGCUCAAAGUUUAAAAACAUUAGUAAAACCAACGUCCAACUUUGUACAUCUGAAGUUUUGGAUUGUUGUGCCAACAAUAAACAGUAAAGGAGAAAUCUCCUUCAAUAUUCAGUUGGUACGCAGCUGCAACUUCUAUGUUAUAUUUGGAAGCUGCUCUAUGUGAUUUGUUGUGUAGUUUGUGAUCAAAUGAAGAUAGAAUUUUUAUGAUUAUAACAUGUGCAACAUGCUACUAACAGUCAAGUUUGUUUGAAUUUGUUCACUUUGUGGUCAGUGGAAAUAUGAUUGCCUUGUACACUUUUCCAGCGGAAGAUGAACUUGGUGUUGCUUGCUAUGAUGAAAUGAGGUGUUUGCCUGGUUGUAAAUUGCAUGCUGAUGUUAUUGUAGUUAUGUUCCGUUCUCUAAAGAAACAUGGGGUCGGAUGCAAUAGGUUAAGGAAAAGGGCAUUGUUCAGCUACGACAAUAGACAAUGAAGAGCUAAUCGAAGACAUUUCCUCAUGGCAAUAACCAAUGAAGAGCAAAUCAAAGGGAUAGAAAUAUUUUGUUGGCUGCAAGCCCCUAUUUUCUUCAACUAAGAGAUAUUAAAUUUAUUAUCAUAUGUGC